RNAcentral lists this long non-coding RNA (8109 nucleotides) under Sus scrofa (pig). RNAcentral's name for it is "lncRNA (ENSSSCG00000055048.1)". The record is from RNAcentral. Lineage: Eukaryota; Metazoa; Chordata; Mammalia; Artiodactyla; Suidae.
UAAUGAAAAUUUGAAAUUUUCUUUUAUUAAAACAGUUUCCUUUACAAAUUAAGCUAUCAAAAAACUUCCCUUAAGGUACAGCAGGUUAAGAAUCCAGAGGUAUCUCCACAGUGGCUUGAGUCACUGCUGUGGCAUAGCUUCCAUACCUGGCCCAGGAAUGGGCCUGGGGCACGGCCAAAAAAAAAAAAAAAAAAAAAAAAAAAAGUUAAGCUAUUAAAAAUAAAUUCAAAACUUUCUUCAGUCUUGUAGAAUGUCCCUGAAGAAUUAGAUCCUAUUUUCUAAAAGCUAGGAAAUAAAGAAUAACUUCUAAGGCAUUUUCCUCUCUGGCAUAGAUACAUAUCUUAUUACAAGAUAACAAGUCAUUGUCCAUCAAUAAAGAGCUAAUUAAAUAAACCAUGGUGCAUUCUCACAACAUGUUACCAUAAAAAAGAAUGAGAGAAAAAAAAAAGGGGGGGAGUUCCUGCUGUGACGCAACAGGAUUGAAAGCAGUGUUUCUGGAAUGCUGGGACUCAGGUUCCAUCCCCAGCCUGGCACAGUGGGUUAAGGAUCCAGCAUUGCUGCAGCUGCUGCUAGGUUGCAACUGUGGCUGGGAUCUAUUCCCUGGCCUGGGAACUACUUAUGCUGCAGGGUGGCCAAAAAAAAUCUCUAUGUACUUCAUACUAACAAAGGGUGGAGAUAAAAGGAGUUCCCUGGUGGUCUAGCAGUUAAGGAUUUGGUGUUGACACUGCUGUGGCAUAGAUUUGACCCCUGACCCAGGAAUUUCUGCACCACAGGCCUGGCCAAAAAAAAAAAAAGUGGAGAUAAGAAUAUAAAUUUGGGAGUUCUUGCUGUGGCGCAGCUGAAACGAAUCCAACUAGGAACCAUGAGGUUUCAGGUUUGAUCCCUGGCCUUGCUUAAUGGGUUAAGGAUCUAGUGUUGCCAUGAGCUGUGAAGUAGGUUGUAGACAAGGCUUGGAUUUAGUGUUGCUGUAGCUGUGGCUGUGGCUGUGGCGUAGGCCAGCAGCUACAGCUCCAAUUAGACCCUUAGCCUGGGAGCCUCCAUAUGCCCCGGGUGCGUCCCUAAAAAGACCAAAAAUAACUAAGUAAAUAAAGUAAAAAUAAAUUUGCAAUCUCCUGGGAUGGAUCAUGAUGGGGGGAAAAAAAAAGGAAUGGGAGUUCCCAUUGUGGCUCAGUGGGUUAAGAACCCAACUCAUAUCCAUAAGGAUGUGGGUUUGAUCCCUGGCCUCACUCAGUGGAUUAAGGAUCUGGCGUUGCUGGGAGCUGUGGUUUAGGUCACAGACAAGGCUUGGAUCUGGCCAUUGCUGUAGCUGUGGCGUAGGACAGCAGCUACAACUCCCUAGCCUGGUGACUUCUAUAUGUCUCAAGUGCGGUCCUAAAAAGACAAGAAAGAAAAGAAAAAAAAAAAGAUGUGUGUAUAUAUAUACAUAUAUAUGUAUGACUGAGUCACUUUGCUGUACAGCAGAAAUUGGUACAAUGCUGUAAAUCAACUAUUUUAAUUAAAACAUUUUUAAAAAGAAUAUCAACCCUCUAUGACUGUUUUGCAAAUAAUUUUCUCAGUUUUUCAUUUGUUUUACAAUAUUUUAAUUAUGUCUUUGCAGCAUAGAAAACUACCCAAAUUUAGGUAAUCAAAGUUACGAACUUUUUCUCUAUUGUAUCUCCCUUUAAUUUAUGCCUAGGAAGGCUUUCAUUUCUAGAAUCAGUUACGUAUAAACCAACAUUUUAUUUUAGCCCAUUUUAUUGUUAUUUUAAAAGUCAAAUCUUUAAUCCAUAUGGAAGGAAAAUUCAUUGCAAAGAAAAUAAAACUAUAGUUAGUAUAGAAAAUAUAAACUUGUAUUGCUUGACUUGUAUAAAGAACAAUGGAAGGAUAAGUAAGAAAUAUAGGCAAUGGGGGUGAGGUAAGCAGGGUAGAGAGGACAGGGAUGGAGGCAAGAUUUUGCUUUGCAUAUUUCGAAUUACAUAAAUGUGUUAAAAAAUAAAUUUAAAAAUCUUAAUUUUUUGGGAGUUACCAUUGUGGUGCAGUGGAAACUAGUAACCAUGAGGUUGUGAGUUGGAUUCCUGGCCUUGCUCAGUGGGUUAAGGAUCCAGCAUUGCUGUGAGCUGUAGUGUAGGUCCCAGACGCGUCUCAGACCCUGCAGUGCUGUGGCUGUGCCGGCAGCUGUGGCUCCAGUGCGACCCCUUGCCUGGGAACCUCCAUAUGCCUUGAGCGCGGCCCUAAAAAGAAAAGAAAAAAAAAAUCUUAAUUUCUUUGUAAGCAAGAUGUCUACAUUUAUAAACUCAUAGGUCUAGGAAACGUUCAAGUUGAGACAGAUAAAACUGAAAAACAGAUAAUUCUGAAACAAUUUAAUGAAAUUUUGCUAAAGUAGAUUAAAUCGAGUUUUCUUUUUUUUUUUCUUUUUGCUUUAAGAAAGCGAUCAAUCCUUCAGGCCCUGAAAUUUAGAGAGAAAAUGUUAGAACUCAUGAUUAGGCUAGAAUUGGAAAAAUAUCCAGUAUCUUUUAAUAUAAUUAAAAUCACGUAAUAAAUCAUUCUUGGGUUUGUGCAGCCAGAUCACACAAGAUUUGAACUGUUUCAAAGUAAUAAUGCUGGCUGAUGUUAGAAGAAAUUUAAAUUCCUGUGGACUGGGUUUAAAAUUAUUAAAUCUGAAAUUCUUUCUUCGUGCCCUCUGGAAUUCACUGCCCAUCAAAAUUCCUGUAGUCUCAAAUCCUCCUGUUAACAGUCUCUUUACUUUCUUAUUCAAAUGGAAAUCUGCAGCCCUCUUAAACUGUGGCUAUUUUUCCACCUUUCCACUGGGCCAGGAAGGUGACUUCAACUAGAACCCAGAGUUUGCUACCAUAAAGUAACUGUUGCAAACUUUCUUUCCCAAUCCCUGAGCCCUAAGUGAUUAGGUCCAAUUCCUUAGUCUACCUAGAUAUUGGAAUUUCAAAUUUAACUCUGCCAAAAUAGACACUUAUUUUUAUUUAUUUAUUUAUUUUUGCUUUUUAGGGUCACAUGUGUGGCAUAUGGAAGUUCCCAGGCUGGGGGUCGAAUCAGAGUUGCAGCUGCUGGUCUAGUAUCCUCUGGAUACUAGUUGGGCUCAUUACCACUGAGCCACAACAGGAACUCUCUGAAAUAGAGAUCUUGAUUCACCCUUUUCAUCUCUAUAAAAACUUCACUAUCACUUUAAUGCCUCAAAUAAAAAAAUCUAAAAUCAUCUUGAGGAGUUCCUGUCACAGCUCAGUGUGAACAAAUUUGACUAGUAUCCAUGAGGACGCAGGUUCAACCCCUGGCCUCAAUCAGUGGGUUAAGGAUCCGGUGUUGCUGUGAGCUGUGGUGUAGGCUGCAGAUGCAGCUUGGAGGCUGUGGUGUAGGCCGGCAGCUAUAGCUCCUAUUCGACUCCAAGCCCAGGAAACUCCAUAUUCUGUGGGUGUGGCCCUAAAAAGACAAAAAAAAAUAAAUAUAAUAAAAUCACCUUGAUAUUUCUCAUCUUUCAAAUAUCCACAUCAAAUCCAUCAGCAAGUCCUAUAGGACCAGGACCCUUAAUCAAAUGAUAGUAUCACAUUCCCACUGACAUCACUGAUAUCCCACCGUCAAACAUUAUCAACUCUCCCCUGCACACCCUCAGAGCCCUUGUACCAGUCUCAUAAUGGUCUCCACUUUUAAAUCCAAUCCUGGUAUGGUCAAAAGAUUGUUGUGAAGUUCCUGUUGUGGCUCAGUAGUAACGAACCCAACUAGAAUCCAUGAGGACACGGGUUUGAUCCCUGGCUUCACUCAGUGGGUUAAGGAUCCAGUGUUGCUGUGAGCUGCCGUGUAGUUCACAGACACAGCUCAGAUCCCAAGUUGCUGUGGCCAUGGUGUAGGCCGGCAGCUGCAUUUCUGAUUUGACACCUAGCCCGGGAACUUCCAUAUGCUGUACAUGCAUCCAAAAAGCAAAAAGUAAAUAAAUCAAUUAAUUAAAUAAAAUUAAAAAAAGAAAGAUUGUUGGAGUCAGAGUAUCGGAGGGAGUGGAAAGAUAGGCUGUAAUCAGUGAACGAGAUUAAGGAGAGUUUACGAUGAGAGAGUCAUAAAACCAUGGGAGUGGGAGUUCCCAUGGCUCAGCAGAAAGAAAUCGGACUGGUAACCAUGAGAUUGCAGGUUCACUCAGUGGCCUCACUCAGUGGGUCAAGGAUCUGCCGUUGCCGUGAGCUGUGGUGUAGGUUGCAGACACUGCUUGGAUCUGAAGUUGCUAUGGCUGUUGGGUAGGCCAGUGGCUACAGCUCCGAUUCCACCCCCAGCCUAGGAACCUCUAUAUGCCUUGGGUGUGGCCCGAAAAAGCAAACAAUUAAAAAUUAAAAAAACUAAAAUAAAACCAUGGGAGUGAGUAGCUCCAUGGCAACAGAGGGCAAGACCACUGAAUGUGAGUUCAAGGAAGUGAGAGGCCAGAGUGUUGGAUCAUCCAGGUAUGUAUUUCAAGUGAGGAAUUAAGAUAGUAGUGGAGUUGGAGAGUAAGCCAAGAGUUACAAUUUUCAAGAAAUUAAGAGGGAUUUUAGGGGUCAAUAAAUUGACAAUGCAAUGUUGUCAGGAGAUGUUGUCAGGUGACUAAAGACUAAAGGCUCUUGUGGUGUAGGUCAAAGACGCGGCUCAGAUCGCUCAGAUCCUGCGUUGCUGUGGUUCUGGCAUAGGCCGCAGGCCGGCGGCUCCAGCUCUGUUUCGACCCCUAGCCUGGGAAACUCCACAUGCUGCAGGAGCGGCCCAAGAAAAGGCAAAAAGACAACAACAGCAACAACAACAACAACAACAACAACAACAAAAGACUAAAGGCUCUAUGUGUUUAGGAAUGUGGGAGGGAGAUUCACCCAUCUCAUCUCCAGGCUUUACUUCUAUAACAUAUACCAAAUCCAUUUCCUCAUCUCCAUUUUUACUGCUGCCAUCCUAGUCCUUUCUCCCUCUCUCUUUCGUGGAUCCCUGCAAUUGAGCUUCCUAAUUGAUGUCCUUGAUCCUUGAUUACCAACAUUUUACAGCAUCUUUGAUACUACGACUUGUUUUAACCAGAUUCAAUUCACUGAGAAAGAAGGUGACUGAUCCCUGGAAGCUCCCACGUGGCCCAGUGGGCUAAGGCUCUAGCGCUGCCACAACUGUGGUGGAGGUCACAACUGCUGGACAGGUUUGAUCCCUGGCCCAGAAAUUUCUACAUGCUGGCAAGGCCAAAAAAAUUUAUGUAAAUAGUCUAAGUAUUCAAAAUACAAUGUCUUGCCCUUUCUUUCUAAGUGAAUUUGACUUAUAGGUAACUUUUCCCCCCACUAUCAUGGUCAUUUAAAAAAAUUUUUUUAAUAUAGUUGACUUACAAUGUUCCGUCAAUUUCUGCUGUACAGCAAAAUGACCCAGUUAUACAUCUAUCUAUAUCUAUAUAUAUACACACACAUUCUUUUUCUCACAUUAUCCUCCAUCAUGUUCCAUCACAAGUGACUGGAUAUAGUUCUCUGUGCAAUGCAGCGGAAUCUCAUUGUUUAUCCAUUCCAAAUGCAAUAGUUUGUGUCUACUAACCCCAAACUCCCAGGCAAUCCCACUGCCUCCCCCUGCCUUGUCCUAUUUCUGAUCAAUUCAAUCAGGACCUCUGACAGGACAGGCCCUGAGACUGGCAUUUUUUAAAAGUUCCUCCAGGAUUUUAAUGUGCAGUUUUUGAGUGAACUAACCUAGGUCAGUUUACCCAAUAUUAUCUCUUUAUACAUAAUCAGUGUGUUGAGGGGGUCCUAAAUUUAUUUAUUCAGCCUGGACUGAUACCCUUCCAACUAUAUCCUUAUAAAUCCAUGGCUUAUUCAACAUUGCUCCUUGAAUUAAAUCUCUGAUUGAAUGUGAACUCUUAUUUUAGCCCCUCUCCCAUUUUUGCCCCAAAUUUAAUUCUAUCAGCUCCAAGUUCAAAAUAUAUCCAGAAUAUAACGAUUUCUCACCAACUUCACCUCUUCUUCCUGGACCCAAGUCAUCUCUCUCCUGGGUUUUAUUAUAAUAGAUUCUCAACCAAGCUACCACAAGCCUUGAAAAAGCAACUUAGUUUAUGUUUCUCUUCUGUUCAAACCCUUUAAUGGCUUCCCAUCUCACUCAGGGUAAAAGCCAGUCUUUAUAAUGGAUCUGAUUGGGUCUUUCACAGCCUCUCUGACUUCAGCUCCUUCUACUAUCUCCUUAAUUUGCCGUCACCCAGUCAUACUGGCCUCUUUCCUCUAAUAUGACGAGCAUGUUCUGCCUUAGGGCCUUUACAGGCCCACUGCCAGGGAAGUUUUCUUAAGUAUCCUUACAGCUAACUCCCUCACUUCCUUAAGACUAAAGUUCAAAUGUCACCUUAUCAAUGAAAUCUUCCCCAGAAACUGUAAAUAAAAAUAGUAUUCAGGGAGUUCCCUUUGUGACUCAGCGGUUAACGAACCCAACUAGGAUCCAUGAGGAUGUGGGUUCAAUCCCUGGCCUUGCUCAGUGGGUUAAGGAUCUGGCAUUGCCACGAGCUCUGUGGAGUAGGUCUCAGACUCAGCUUGGAUCCCGCGUUGCUGUGGCUCUAGCGUAGGCCAGCAGCUGUAGCUCUGAUUUGACCCUAGCCUGGAAACUUCUGUAUGCCACAGAUAAGGCCCUAAAAAGCAAAAAAAAAAAAAAUUAUUCAACCCCAAGACUGCCUUAUCCCUCUUCUUUCUCUUCAGAGCACAUAUUACCAUCUGUUAUACUGUAUAUUUACCUGUUUGUUUACCUUCUGUCUUCUCCACUAGGAUGUAAGUUCUGUGAAGGCAUAGAUUUCGCUUUGUUUAUGACUAUAUCCCUAGCCCUGCAAAAUGCCUGACACAUAGUGAGUCCAUAAUACAUAUCUGUUGAAUGAAUGAUUUUCUUAUUUUCUCCGCUAUCUUUAAUUUUCUCCACUAUCUUUUUUCCCACACAAAUGGAUAAACUCACCCAGUUUCUCUGCUUACUACACCACUGCAAUAAUACAAGCAAACUGAAGCACAUUUUUAAAUGUGCUAACUGAGGAGUGCCCCCUGUGGCACAAUGGGAGCAGUGGUGUCUCUGGUGUGCUAGAACUCAGGUUCAAUCCGGCAAGGCACAGCAAGUUAAAGGAUCCAGUGUUGCCACAGCUGUGUAACAGGUCACAACUGUGGCUUGGAUCUGAUCCCUGGCCGGGGAACCCCAUAUGCUGCAGGGUGGCCAAAAAUUAAAAAAAAGCUAAUUGACAUAGAAGGGUUUGACAGUAGGUAUGCUGAAAAAAAAAUGUAUUAUGUAUGUAUACAUACAGGUAUGUACAUAUAUACCAUAUAUAACCAUGCUGCUGUACCACGGAACAAUCUAGUUUAGGAACUGAUCCAAAUCCCCUCAUUUUUUUCUUCUCAGAGUACCAGCAAUCAUCAAUUCUAAUGGUAUUAAUAGCCUCAUGACAGGGGUACUGCCUUCUGCAGACCCUGAAAAGUAUUUCCCUGGCAUCAACUACUCUGUACAUUCAAAACUAGUUACAAUAGACUACACAGAUCUGUAUUCAGUUAGUUGUGAACAAUAAGAAUGGCCUUAAAAAUAUUACAGUUCAUACACUCUCAAUCCACCUCCUCCCCAUUUCAACCACAUACAGCUACACAAGUAUACUAAAUUAAAAAGAAAAAAAAAGAAAUUGAACAAUAAUAUAAGUAUAGGAGAAAUCUGAAAUCACUCCAACUUCAAACUUUAAAUCAUUUGCCUAGCAAGAGCAGCCCACAGAUGCACUGUGACUCAGCAUUUUAUGGUGCCUAAGACAUGAAAUGAGAUAAAGGUCUCGUUCCUUCAUGGCAUUAGCUAAAUCUGGAGCUAAAAUAAAUGAACUACCUUAAAAACACAAAGUCAGUGGCUGAAAUGUUAGAGUGCUCACACUAACACUGACUCAAUAUAUGAUGACAGGGAGGAGAGCAUGUGUCAGUUGAAGCACAUAGAACUGUUCUGAAAUAACUUCUCGACCUAUAACAUUAGCAAAUGACAAUGCUGACUACAAUUAACACUCAGAAACAGAAAAAAUAUUGUAAAUAAAUGAAAACUAUAAAAGUAUGAACUGUGGUGACUGAUUCAGAGUCAGGUAAAAAAAUAACUUAGAGCAAAGGAGGGAAUUUACCCAGGUAUUCUUCACGAGAAAACAGAAGCUAAAAUUGAACCAAGGGAAAACCCUUG